AACAGAAUACUGUGGUCUGUAACUGAGGAUCGACUCUCUUGCCGGUAAUUGUGUGUCCCAAGCAAUGGUUCCAACAACACACUGUCACAGCAAACAGUUUAUACAUGUAAAGAGCAUCUGUCCCUGUCCGGAUCAGGAAAACAGAAAUGAGCAUCCUGGGAGAACAGUUACAUUAGUUUGUUAAUGAACUUAUAGUGAAGAGCAAUAUAUCAGAUAAUUAUCGACAGUGUGUUCUAGAGGGAAUGGAGGAUAAAGAGCCAAUCUCAUAUAUUGACUGACUGUUUACACUGAAUUACUGCAGAUAACAGCAGAUACAAGAAUAGGAUCUGCUUUGUUUCCUCCAGGUUCAUCACAGGAGAUGCUGGCUGGAUUUCCCAUCAAAUAGCCAUUCUAAUGUAAUGGAGAACAUUAUCAAGCCCCAGCAUAUAACAUCGUGACAAGAGACAAGCUUUGUGCACAUAAUUCCUCUUACACUCUUAGUGUUAAUCGAUUGGUGCGCACCAAGUACCCCAUAGAACAGGACUCAAUACAUGUUUGUUUUAAGGAGCUAUUCCACAGAACUAUGAGAAAUAGUUUAUUAGUAACUAAACAGAUGUGCAAUCAAUAAAAUUGUCCCUUUAA
Molecule: long non-coding RNA, 621 nt
Organism: Rana temporaria (common frog)
Lineage: Eukaryota; Metazoa; Chordata; Amphibia; Anura; Ranidae
Exons: 2
Source: RefSeq, a predicted model, not a curated record